This is a small nuclear RNA of Rattus norvegicus (Norway rat), 68 nucleotides long. Ensembl annotates it as U7 small nuclear RNA. NCBI's taxonomy places the organism in Eukaryota, Metazoa, Chordata, Mammalia, Rodentia, Muridae. The record is from Ensembl.
GAGUUAUUACUAUUCUUUUAGAAAUUUUUCUAGCAGGAUUUCUGACUUUGGUUCCUCAGGAACCCCUC